RNAcentral lists this ribosomal RNA (253 nucleotides) under uncultured bacterium. RNAcentral describes it as "partial 16S ribosomal RNA". It matches the Rfam family "Bacterial small subunit ribosomal RNA", at positions 524 to 776 of the family's 1533-position model. The record is from RNAcentral.
UACGUAGGGGGCAAGCGUUGUCCGGAAUUAUUGGGCGUAAAGAGCGUGUAGGCGGUUCGGUAAGUCCGCUGUGAAAGUCCAGGGCUCAACCCUGGAAUGCCGGUGGAUACUGCCGGGCUAGAGUCCGGAAGAGGCGAGUGGAAUUCCUGGUGUAGCGGUGAAAUGCGCAGAUAUCAGGAGGAACACCUGUGGCGAAAGCGGCUCACUGGGCCGAAACUGACGCUGAGGAGCGAAAGCAUGGGUAGCAAACAGG